AACCACUAUUCACACUUCCUUG
RNAcentral lists this microRNA (22 nucleotides) under Magallana gigas (Pacific oyster). RNAcentral describes it as "Mgi-Mir-34_3p* (star (passenger))". The record is from RNAcentral. Lineage: Eukaryota; Metazoa; Mollusca; Bivalvia; Ostreida; Ostreidae.